Molecule: ribosomal RNA, 429 nt
Filed under: uncultured bacterium
Lineage: Bacteria
Description: bacterial SSU rRNA
Rfam family: Bacterial small subunit ribosomal RNA
Source: RNAcentral
CUGGCGGCAGGCCUAACACAUGCAAGUCGAGCGGGCAUCCUUCGGGAUGUUAGCGGCGGACGGGUGAGUAACGCGUGGGAACGUGCCCUUUGCUACGGAAUAGCCUCGGGAAACUGAGAGUAAUACCGUAUGUGCCCUUCGGGGGAAAGAUUUAUCGGCAAAGGAUCGGCCCGCGUUGGAUUAGGUAGUUGGUGGGGUAAUGGCCUACCAAGCCGACGAUCCAUAGCUGGUUUGAGAGGAUGAUCAGCCACACUGGGACUGAGACACGGCCCAGACUCCUACGGGAGGCAGCAGUGGGGAAUCUUAGACAAUGGGGGAAACCCUGAUCUAGCCAUGCCGCGUGAGCGAUGAAGGCCUUAGGGUUGUAAAGCUCUUUUACCCGAGAUGAUAAUGACAGUAUCGGGAGAAUAAGCUCCGGCUAACUCCGUG